AUGCUGCCAGUGCUUGAGUGCGAUAAUGUAAACGACCGCGAAGGAGGCAGGCAUUAUUGGGUCUUCAACAUCAACCUGAGGGACAGACGUUUUGAAGUCCUUGGUUCAAACAGAAAGCUAGAAGACAUUGAGUUGAUGGACACCGCCUCUACGAUUGCGGGGGCAGUACGCCAGCUAUGGAGGAAGCAUUACGCAAAGCAGAGCAUCGAGCAUUUCCAGAUUAUUGACAUCGACGUACCGAAGCAGAUUAGCAACAAUGAGUGUGGUCUGUUCACACUACUUAACGCCACUGAGUGGAACGGGAGCCUACUGCCCAACUAUGAGCCCAAUGAAGAUCUCAACCUCAGGAAGAAGCUGGCAUAUGAUUGGGUCACCAGCACGCACAACUCUGCCCCACGGAGGAAGGUGCUGAGAUACGAAAAUGACUAG
Molecule: ribosomal RNA, 429 nt
Filed under: Triticum aestivum (bread wheat)
Lineage: Eukaryota; Viridiplantae; Streptophyta; Magnoliopsida; Poales; Poaceae
Description: partial small subunit ribosomal RNA
Source: RNAcentral